GGCGAACGGGUGAGUAAUAUAUCGGAACGUGCCCAGUAGUGGGGGAUAGCCCGGCGAAAGCCGGAUUAAUACCGCAUACGACCUAUGGGUGAAAGCGGGGGAUCGCAAGACCUCGCGCUAUUGGAGCGGCCGAUAUCAGAUUAGCUAGUUGGUGGGGUAAAAGCCUACCAAGGCGACGAUCUGUAGCUGGUCUGAGAGGACGACCAGCCACACUGGGACUGAGACACGGCCCAGACUCCUACGGGAGGCAGCAGUGGGGAAUUUUGGACAAUGGGCGCAAGCCUGAUCCAGCCAUGCCGCGUGUGGGAAGAAGGCCUUCGGGUUGUAAACCACUUUUGUCAGGGAAGAAACGGUCUGAUCUAAUAAAUUGGACUAAUGACGGUACCUGAAGAAUAAGCACCGGCUAACUACGUGCCAGCAGCCGCGG
This 427-nucleotide ribosomal RNA is filed under the name uncultured bacterium. RNAcentral describes it as "bacterial SSU rRNA". It matches the Rfam family "Bacterial small subunit ribosomal RNA", at positions 97 to 520 of the family's 1533-position model. The record is from RNAcentral.